UGGAGAACUGCUAUCCCUCCUGUUAACCUGUGCCUCUCUGUUUCAUGGAUUUUCUUGGUGCUUCUGAAACACUGAGAAAGACACAGUUAGGGGUGGCUAAGGGGUCAGUCAGGGUCCACCCUGUGAGAAAGGAGACUCUUUGCAUUGCCAUGUUGCCCAGAAGUGAUACGAGGGUCACUCCAGGUCUGGCUGCUCGUGGGAAGUGAUGACUGGGAACCCACCCCCAUCCCCUGCCUGUGAGCUGCUGCUGGAGGUCUCUCCCCCUUGGCUCCCUUUUUCAGUUUUGCAGAUUUAUUUCCCUUCCCCUUCUUGGAUGAAGGUUGCAAGGAUUUCCACAAAAUAUGUUUGGAGGAACCA
Non-coding RNA from Lonchura striata (white-rumped munia), 357 nucleotides. The record is from RefSeq and is a predicted model, not a curated record. NCBI's taxonomy places the organism in Eukaryota, Metazoa, Chordata, Aves, Passeriformes, Estrildidae.